UACAUGACUAGGUCAGAAUUAUUGA
RNAcentral lists this non-coding RNA (25 nucleotides) under Mus musculus (house mouse). Lineage: Eukaryota; Metazoa; Chordata; Mammalia; Rodentia; Muridae. The record is from RNAcentral.